RNAcentral lists this transfer RNA (86 nucleotides) under Ailuropoda melanoleuca (giant panda). RNAcentral's name for it is "tRNA-Thr (TGT) (tRNA-Thr-TGT-6-1)". It matches the Rfam family "tRNA". From Rfam's summary of the family: Transfer RNA (tRNA) molecules are approximately 80 nucleotides in length. Their secondary structure includes four short double-helical elements and three loops (D, anti-codon, and T loops). The record is from Rfam by way of RNAcentral. Lineage: Eukaryota; Metazoa; Chordata; Mammalia; Carnivora; Ursidae.
GGCUCCGUGGCUUAGCGAGUCAAGGCGCCUGUCUUGUAAACAGGAGAUCCUGGGUUCGACCCUGGGUUCGACUCCCAGCGGGGCCU